AAUGCACUGAGCGUCUCCAUCAUGAGCAGUAUGAAGGCAGUGGCAAAGGCAAAAACUGCAAGCCCCACUAACCGGAUGAUGAUAUUAUCAUACCCCCAAGCAAGGAGGAGGACUUUCUCAUAGAAAACAGUAGACAACUCGGAAUGCGCCAAACUCAAAGCCCAAAGCCGAAGGUAUGAUGCCGUAUUUGAGACUGCACCUAGAACGAACUCUAUGGAGUGUAUCAUUUGGUGCACAAACACCUCACUGAAAUUAAAAUCGUCAUGAUGUGAUCGUGCAGAACCAGGCUCCAUAUCAAGAUCCAUCUCAGAGGUGCCAAGAAUCCCAUAAGUGCGGCCUUGAAAUCUCUCGGUAUGAAGUUUCUUCAAAAUAAAAGGUUUAGGGAGUAACAUCCAUGGAACUGCAAUUAAUGCCAAAAGCAACAACAGGAUCUGCAAUGGUCUCUGGCCCCAAAACAACUGAUUCUCACCAAGAUCAUCAGUGGGACUUAAAAACAUGUAAAUCAUCACAUGAUAAAGGUCUGCCUGAGAACCAGAGCACCACUUGAUGAUAAUAAGGAGUGAAAGGUACCCAAAAAGGCAGUUCAAGAAGAUUAUCUGCGGCACAAACUGAUACCUUAUAUCUAGCGAGUUGCCAAAAAAGCGUGCGUUGAAAUAACUUAAUAUGAUUCCUAGGUUCAUCUGGGCCACACCCAACAAUAUAGACAUCUUCAUCUUGAGAGAGUUCAAAAAAGGCAGUUCUGAACGACUUCCACGCCAACUGGGAUCCACACCAAAUGGGUAUGGAUCUCGGUAUUUCAUUAAACCAGCUAUUUGUGCAUCACUGCAAGUGGUGUCUCGGCAUUUGUAAGCAGACCCACCAAAUAUGUGAAAAGGAACAGAAAAGAAUUCAUUGUAAAUCAGCCCACAGUAAAUUGAAAAAAGUGCCAUUAGGAGGAGUACAUAGCGCCCACCAAAAAGCAUCUCCAUAAAGCUCCCAAGUUUCUGAGAACUGAGCUUGCUUUCCCGAGCUAUAAGUAUUAAUGCUCCCAUAAGUAAGCAUAUUCCAUGGCCCCAAUCCCCAAACAUUACCGCAAAAAGAAAUGGGAAGGUAACAACUGUGUAAACUGCAGGAUUUGCUUCUUCAUAUCUAGCAACACCAUAUGCAUCAACAAUUUCCUGAAAUGCAUUUGUGAAACGAUUUGUUCUGAAAUAUGUAGGAGGUGAUUCCAAAGCAUCCAUCACAUGAAAAAUUAUGCCCACUUGUGAAUUGCUAUCAAAUGUUGCACGUUGCAGUGUCUCCUGAAUCUGAGCUUUCGCAAAUGAAGGGCACCAGCCCUCUCCAACAAGACAUUUUUUUGUGACAUCAAAAUUCAGCAUAUUCAAAGUAUCAUAUACAGCUUUUUCCCUCUUUACCAUGUUCAUCCAUUUUGUUAGUUGGUACCCAAUGGAAGCAAGGGCUUUAUUUCGGUGGCGAAUUCCAGCAUCCAAUGUGGCUUCCAAUUCAGAAAGACGUGACAAAACUUCUCUAGUUAUUUGCCUCUGUUUAGUUAUAUCUUCAGGGACAGGAUAGCAAUUUGCACCAAAUGCUUCACAAAUUUUUAAAAUUUUUGUUCUUGCCUGUUCACCUGAGAAAAAGACUACAAAUACAGUUUUUUCAACCAUUUCAGUUGACACAGGAUCCAUGAUCUCUUCAUCAGCCGGUGCCUGAUUGAAAAGCAUAUUGCCCCUUGUAGCACGAAAUAGCAUUCUCUCAAAUCUCAGAACUUUGGAUCUAGGUAUAAUACCACUGAUAAAUCUCAAACCAGAUUGGUUCGAUGGUACAGACCUCAGUUCCUUUUCAAGAAAUGAGGUUGUUUCACCAUAAUCAUCAUUUGAGUACACAUUUUCAUUUAAUUCUGUUUCCUCUGCAACUGCAUGACUAUUAC
RNAcentral lists this unclassified non-coding RNA (1906 nucleotides) under Hevea brasiliensis (rubber tree). The record is from RNAcentral. Lineage: Eukaryota; Viridiplantae; Streptophyta; Magnoliopsida; Malpighiales; Euphorbiaceae.